GUGGUGGUAGUAGUAGUGGUAAUGUUGGUGAUGGUGGUAGUAGUGGUAAUGAUGACGGUGGUAGUAGUGCUAAUGAUGAUGGUGGUAGUGGUAGUAGUGGUAGUGGUAGUAGUGGUAAUGAUGAUGAUGGUGGUGGUAGUAGUGGCAAUGAUGGUGGUGGUGGUGGUAGUAGGGGUAAUGAUGAUGGUGGUGGUAGUAGUGGUAAUGAUGAUAAUGGUCGUGGUAGUAGUGGUAAUGAUGGUGGUGGUGGUGGUAGUAGUAGUGGUAAUGAUGGUGGUGGUGGUGGUAGUAGUGGUAAUGAUGAUGGUGGUAGUAGUAGUGGUAAUGAUGGUGGUGGUGGCAGUGGUAAUGAUGAUGAUGGUGGUAGUAGUGGUAAUGAUGAUGGUGGUGGUAGUAGUGGUAAUGAUGGUGGUGGUGGUAUUAGUGGUAAUAAUGAUGAUGGUGGUAGUAGUGGUAAUGAUGGUGGUGGUAGUAGUAGUGGUAAUGAUGAUGACGGUGGUAGUAGUGGUAAUGAUGGUGGUGGUGGUAGUGGUAAUGAUGACGGUGGUAGUAGUAGUGGUAAUGAUGAUGAUGGUGGUAGUAGUGGUAAUGAUGCUGUUGGUAGUAGUGGUAAUGAUGCUGUUGGUAGUAGUGGUAAUGAUGGUGGUGGUAGUAGUGGUAAUGAUGGCGGUGGUAGUAGUAGUGGUAAUGAUGGUGGUGGUGGUGGUAGUAGUGGGAAUGAUGAAGGGGGUGGUGCUGGUAGUAGUGGUAAUGAUGAUGAUGAUGGUGGUGGUAGUAGUGGUAAUGAUGGUGGUGGUGUUGGUAGUAGUGGCAAUGAUGAUGAUGGUGGUAGUAGUAGUGGUAAUGAUGAUGGUGGUGGUAGUAGUGGUAAUGAUGUUAAUGGUGGUGGUAGUAGUGGUAAUGAUGGUGGCGGUGGUGGUAGUAGUAGUGGUAAUGACGGUGGUGGUGAUGGUGGUGGUGGUGGUGGUAAUGAUGAUGAUGAUGGUGGUAGUAGUAGUGGUAAUAAUGGUGGUGGUGGUAGUAGUGGUAAUGAUGGUGGUGGUGGUGGUGGUAGUACUGGUAAUGAUGAUGGUGGUAGUAGUGGUAAUGAUGACGGUGGUAGUAGUGCUAAUGAUGAUGGUGGUAGUGGUAGUAGUGGUAGUGGUAGUAGUGGUAAUGAUGAUGAUGGUGGUGGUAGUAGUGGUAAUGAUGGUGGUGGUGGUAGUACUGGUAAUGAUGAUGGUGGUAGUAGUGGUAAUGAUGACGGUGGUAGUAGUGCUAAUGAUGAUGGCGGUAGUGGUAGUAGUGGUGGUAGUAGUAGUGGUAAUGAUGGUGGUGGUGGUGGUAGUAGUGGUAAUGAUGAUGGUGGUAGUAGUAGUGGUAAUGUUGGUGGUGGUGGCAGUGGUAAUGAUGAUGAUGGUGGUAGUAGUGGUAAUGAUGGUGGUGGUGGUACUAGUGGUAAUGAUGAUGGUGGUGGUAGUAGUGGUAAUGAUGAUGGUGGUGGUAGUAGUGGUAAUGAUGGUGGUGGUAGUAGUAGUGGUAAUGAUGAUGACGGUGGUAGUAGUGGUAAUGAUGGUGGUGGUGGUAGUGGUAAUGAUGACGGUGGUAGUAGUAGUGGUAAUGAUGAUGAUGGUGGUAGUAGUGGUAAUGAUGCUGUUGGUAGUAGUGGUAAUGAUGCUGUUGGUAGUAGUGGUAAUGAUGGUGGUGGUAGUAGUGGUAAUGAUGGCGGUGGUAGUAGUAGUGGUAAUGAUGGUGGUGGUGGUGGUAGUAGUGGGAAUGAUGAAGGGGGUGGUGGUGGUAGUAGUGGUAAUGAUGAUGAUGAUGGUGGUGGUAGUAGUGGUAAUGAUGGUGGUGGUGGUGGUAGUAGUGGCAAUGAUGAUGAUGGUGGUAGUAGUAGUGGUAAUGAUGAUGGUGGUGGUAGUAGUGGUAAUGAUGUUAAUGGUGGUGGUAGUAGUGGUAAUGAUGGUGGCGGUGGUGGUAGUAGUAGUGGUAAUGACGGUGGUGGUGAUGGUGGUGGUGGUAAUGAUGAUGAUGAUGGUGGUAGUAGUAGUGGUAAUAAUGGUGGUGGUGGUAGUAGUGGUAAUGAUGAUAAUGUUGGUGGUAGUAGUGGUAAUGAUGGUGGUGGUGGUGGUAGUAGUAGUGGUACUGAUGGCGGUGGUGGUGGUAGUAGUAGUGGUAAUGAUGGUGAUGGUGGUGGUAGUAGUGGAAAUGAUGAUGGUGGUGGUAGUAGUAGUGGUAAUGAUGAUGAUGGUGGUAGUAGUAGUGGUAAUGAUGAUGAUGGUAGUAGAAGUGGUAAUGAUGAUGAUGGUGGUAGUAGUGGUAAUGAUGAGGGUGGUAGUAGUGGUAAUGAUGAUGGUGGUAGUAGUGG
Long non-coding RNA from Oncorhynchus tshawytscha (Chinook salmon), 2347 nucleotides. Lineage: Eukaryota; Metazoa; Chordata; Actinopteri; Salmoniformes; Salmonidae. The record is from Ensembl.